UGUCUUCGACGAGUCGAGUUGUUUGGGAAUGCAGCUCAAAAUGGGUGGUAAAUGUCAUCUAAAGCUAAAUAUUGGCGAGAGACCGAUAGCGCACAAGUAGAGUGAUCGAAAGAUGAAAAGCACUUUGAAAAGAGAGUCAAAAAGUACGUGAAAUUGCUGAAAGGGAAGCGCUUGAGACCAGACUCGAACCGUGGUGAUCAGCCGUGCUUCUGUGCGGUGUCACUUGCCACGGUUUGGGCCAGCAUCGGUUCUGGCGGUCGGAUAAAAGGUGGAGGAAUGUAGCUUCCUUCUGGGAGUGUUAAUUUAGCCACCACCACAAUGCGGCCAGCCGGGACCGAGGACCGCGCCUUCUUUGGCUAGGAUGCUGGCGUAAUGGUCUUAAGCGACCCGUCUUG
Molecule: ribosomal RNA, 395 nt
Filed under: Genea hispidula
Lineage: Eukaryota; Fungi; Ascomycota; Pezizomycetes; Pezizales; Pyronemataceae
Description: eukaryotic LSU rRNA
Rfam family: Eukaryotic large subunit ribosomal RNA
Source: RNAcentral